GUUGGUCGAUACCGCCGACUUCUUCCUCUGUGAAGGUGAUCGAGCAACUUUGGCCGUCUCGAGGAGGAGACCAUGUAGGCCAAUUUGCACUCGACUCUGCCUUCCGUUGGUAAGCCUUGAUGGCCGACACGGUAUCGCCGCAGUAUUGUGAUCCUCCGAUGAUCAUAUUGACUCUGCGACGAUUGUUAUCGUUCCCUUUGUCAUCCGGCC
This 210-nucleotide long non-coding RNA is filed under the name Brassica napus (rape). RNAcentral describes it as "long non-coding RNA (BNAP_LNC003208)". The record is from RNAcentral. Lineage: Eukaryota; Viridiplantae; Streptophyta; Magnoliopsida; Brassicales; Brassicaceae.